Non-coding RNA from Bactrocera oleae (olive fruit fly), 644 nucleotides. The record is from RefSeq and is a predicted model, not a curated record. Lineage: Eukaryota; Metazoa; Arthropoda; Insecta; Diptera; Tephritidae.
UCUGUUGGUAUUCAAAUAUAUUCAACGAGAAUAAUUGAUAAGAACGCUUGUCGGUAAUCACUAAGCGCAAAAUUAUUUACAAGCUUUUUGACUACUCAAAUGUCUAAAAUUUUCUAAGCAAAUAUUUGUGUAUUACAAGCAUUUACUAAUAUUGUCUUUAGAUAAACAAGCUAUUAUUUAAAAAAAAAAAAAAAAACAAUUCAGUUCGAUAUUAGGGUAUUAGCGCUGCUAACACCCGUGGGGCUUCACGUUGAGCAUUUGCCAGCGAUCGUCGAUCGCAGACGCCACAGCCAAUGAUAUAGUUGAGCUUAUUUCAUGCGCGCUAGCAAGCAAUGUAACAGUGUGUAUGUGACCAUCAAUCGUUUGCUGCUGCGUUCGAAAACUAAAUUUUAAGAAAAAAGGUAAGUAACUGCAGCCUGACACACGAUAGACGCGAGCGCCGUGCUGACAGGAAAGAACAUCUAAUAAAAUAAUCCAACAAGAGAGAGCAAAACUCAAAAAACUUGGUGGACCCUCGUUGAGACGCUAUAUUAGACGGGAAGCGUGGCCUAUCAACUUCCGUUUGCAGCCAGUGUCAAUAUUACUUGCCGCAAAACCAUACAGAAUAUUUGAAUAUACAAUAUUAUAAUUUUAGCGUAAUCUAU